AGAUACCUGGUAGUCCGCACGGUAAACGAUGGAUGCCCGCUGUUGCGAUAUACUGUGAGCGGGCCAAGAGAAAUCGUUAAGCAUCCCGCCUGGGGAGUACGCCGGCAACGGUGAAACUCAAAGGAAUUGACGGGGGCCCCCACAAGCGGAGGAACAUGUGGUUUAAUUCGAUGAUACGCGAGGAACCUUACCCGGGCUUGAACUGCAGGCGAACGAUACAGAGAUGUUGAGGCCCUUCGGGGCGCCUGUGGAGGUGCUGCAUGGUUGUCGUCAGCUCGUGCCGUGAGGUGUCGGCUUAAGCGCCAUAACGAGCGCAACCCCUUUCGUCAGUUGCCAUCAGGUGAUGCUGGGCACUCUGGCGACACUGCCACCGUAAGGUGUGAGGAAGGUGGGGAUGACGUCAAAUCAGCACGGCCCUUACGUCCGGGGCUACACACGUGUUACAAUGGGUGGUACAGAGAGUAAGUCCCCAGCAAUGUGGAUUCAAUCAUGAAAGCCGCCCUCAGUUCGGAUUGGGGUCUGCAACCCGACCCCAUGAAGCUGGAUUCGCUAGUAAUCGCGCAUCAGCCAUGGCGCGGUGAAUACGUUCCCGGACCUUGUACACACCGCCCGUCAAGCCAUGAAAGCCGGGGGCGCCUGAAGUCCGUGACCGCGAGGGUCGGCCUAGGGUGAAACCGGUGAUUGGGGCUAAGUCGUAACAAGGUAACCGUA
This 711-nucleotide ribosomal RNA is filed under the name uncultured rumen bacterium. RNAcentral's name for it is "bacterial SSU rRNA". It matches the Rfam family "Bacterial small subunit ribosomal RNA", at positions 780 to 1504 of the family's 1533-position model. The record is from RNAcentral.